UUUGGAUUUUUUUUUUUUAUUUCUUUUUAGUUUGAUGAGGUAGUGCUUUUGUUCGGGUGUCAUGUAUUUUGAUUAGGUUUAGAUUUGUUUGAAAUACCCGUGCGUAUGUAAUCUUGGACAAUGUUGGGUUUUUUUAAUAAUAUUGAUUUAGCUUAGUAAAAAGAAACAACAAAUGUAUAUGGUCUAUGGAGACAAAUAAAGAAGAAAUAAUUCAUAGUGUCGAGAAUGAAGAUAACUCUAUUGAACUGUAACAUCCC
RNAcentral lists this long non-coding RNA (257 nucleotides) under Gossypium raimondii (Peruvian cotton). Its description in RNAcentral is "long non-coding RNA (GRAI_LNC001192)". Lineage: Eukaryota; Viridiplantae; Streptophyta; Magnoliopsida; Malvales; Malvaceae. The record is from RNAcentral.